AGUGAACGUUGGCGGUAGGCCUAACACAUGCAAGUCGAACGGCAGCACAGUAAGAGCUUGCUCUUACGGGUGGCGAGUGGCGGACGGGUGAGGAAUACAUCGGAAUCUACUUUUUCGUGGGGGAUAACGUAGGGAAACUUACGCUAAUACCGCAUACGACCUACGGGGGAAAGCAGGGGAUCUUCGGACCUUGCGCGAUUGAAUGAGCCGAUGUCGGAUUAGCUAGUUGGCGGGGUAAAGGCCCACCAAGGCGACGAUCCGUAGCUGGUCUGAGAGGAUGAUCAGCCACACUGGAACUGAGACACGGUCCAGACUCCUACGGGAGGCAGCAGUGGGGAAUAGUGGACAGUGGGCGCAAGCAUGAUCCAGCCAUACCGCGUGGGUGAAGAAGGCCUUCGGGUUGUAAAGCCCUUUUGUUGGGAAAGAAAAGCAGCAGGUUAAUACCCCGCUGUUCUGACGGUACCCAAAGAAUAAGCACCGGCUAACUUCGUG
Molecule: ribosomal RNA, 492 nt
Filed under: uncultured bacterium
Lineage: Bacteria
Description: partial 16S ribosomal RNA
Rfam family: Bacterial small subunit ribosomal RNA
Source: RNAcentral